ACGGGAGGCAGCAGUGGGGAAUAUUGCACAAUGGGGGGAACCCUGAUGCAGCGACGCCGCGUGAGCGAAGAAGUAUCUCGGUAUGUAAAGCUCUAUCAGCAGGGAAGAAACAGGACGGUACCUGCACAAGAAGCCCCGGCUAACUACGUGCCAGCAGCCGCGGUAAUACGUAGGGGGCGAGCGUUGUCCGGAUUUACUGGGUGUAAAGGGAGCGUAGACGGCUGUGCAAGUCUGGAGUGAAAUUCCGCGGCUCAACCGCGGAACUGCUCUGGAAACUGCAUGGCUCGAGUACCGGAGGGGCAGGCGGAACUCCUAGUGUAGCGGUGAAAUGCGUAGAUAUUAGGAAGAACACCGGCGGCGAAGGCGGCCUGCUGGACGGUAACUGACGUUGAGGCUCGAAAGCGUGGGGAGCAAACAGGAUUAGAUACCCUGGUA
RNAcentral lists this ribosomal RNA (435 nucleotides) under uncultured Lachnospiraceae bacterium. Its description in RNAcentral is "bacterial SSU rRNA". It matches the Rfam family "Bacterial small subunit ribosomal RNA", at positions 341 to 792 of the family's 1533-position model. The record is from RNAcentral. Lineage: Bacteria; Bacillati; Bacillota; Clostridia; Lachnospirales; Lachnospiraceae.